AUUGAACGCUGGCGGAAUGCUUUACACAUGCAAGUCGAACGGCAGCACGGACUUCGGUCUGGUGGCGAGUGGCGAACGGGUGAGUAAUGUAUCGGAACGUGCCCGGUCGUGGGGGAUAACGUAGUGAAAAUUACGCUAAUACCGCAUACGAUCUAUGGAUGAAAGCGGGGGAUCGCAAGACCUCGCGCGAUUGGAGCGGCCGAUAUCAGAUUAGGUAGUUGGUGGGGUAAAGGCCCACCAAGCCAACGUUCUGUAGCUGGUCUGAGAGGACGACCAGCCACACUGGAACUGAGACACGGUCCAGACUCCUACGGGAGGCAGCAGUGGGGAAUUUUGGACAAUGGGCGAAAGCCUGAUCCAGCCAUUCCGCGUGCAGGAUGAAGGCCCUCGGGUUGUAAACUGCUUUUGUACAGAACGAAAAGGUUUCUACUAAUACUAGGAGCUCAUGACGGUACUGUAAGAAUAAGCACCGGCUAACUACGUGCCAGCAGCCGCGGUAA
This 500-nucleotide ribosomal RNA is filed under the name uncultured bacterium. Its description in RNAcentral is "partial 16S ribosomal RNA". It matches the Rfam family "Bacterial small subunit ribosomal RNA", at positions 30 to 523 of the family's 1533-position model. The record is from RNAcentral.